CUAGAGCUCCAGUUCUUCUCUGUUGUGAAAAUACCACUCACCUCACAGGGCUUCAGGUUUCUCCUUCCAACUGACAAAUGUGGACUGGGCACCUACUUAAGGCCCAGGACUGUUCUAGGCGCCUGGGAUUCAACCACAAACAAAGCAGUCUCUGCCCUUUGGAGACUUAAAGGGAGACAGACAACGAACCUAACAGAAAGAAACUUCUCACUGUGGUCAACCUGACCCAUGGAAGGAAUCUGGGCAGGGCGUGAGGCUUUGGAAGGAGGACUGGGGUGGCUUCCCUGAGAAGGUGGUAUUUGAAAGAGAUGUGGAUGUAUGAGGAAGAGGGGCCUGGGUAGAACUGCAGCCAGGGCAAAGCCUGGAGGACUGGAUCAAACACCAAACAGCAAGCAGGUGGUUGAGACGGAUGAAAGGAGGUAUGCUGGAUGCUCAGUAAGUGCUGUGCCUGACCAGGAGCCCUCCCUCAUCCUUCUAGGACCCUUUUUGGCUCUUCCUUGGGCGGUGAAGCUGGAUGGAUAACCAGGUCCUAGAAUUAGAGGGGAAGAUGCAGGACAGUUGAGCUGUCUUCAGGCAGCUGAAGAACCAUCUCACAUUCAUUCCUGAGUCUCCACAAGGAAGAUUGGGCAACUGAAUCCAAAAGGGCAAAUUGACUUGCUCCAACAGCUGUGGAUGGUAGAGCUACAACCCAACCCCAGGGACUCUCUGCCUCCAGGAAGACUUCAAGCAAUUGACUUCUGGUUGCCAUGAUUCUUCCUUCCCUCUGUCCCUAUGAUAAUACACCAGCCUAUGGCACAUGACCUCUGUGGCCGGCUCUACUCCAUGCAGUUUCAUGUGUUCACUCCCUUCCUCUGCUCACCAACCUUAUAAGAAGAUGCUAUAGUCUUAUCCAAGGCACAGAAAGGCUAGCCACCUUGCCCAAGGUAACACAGCAAGUCAAUGACAGAACCAAAAUUCCAGCCCACACAGACUGAAACCAGAAGCCAAGACAUUCUUUACCAUGACACCAUGCAAGGGUUUGAGGUCUCACUAGAAUUUGCUGCAUUGGAUGACCUAGAAAUCAGUAGCCCAUUUGAUUGGGUUCCUGUGACAUUUCAGUGAGAAGGCAGGUUGGUACAGGGCCUUGCCCUACAACAGGGAUCUUGCAUUUGCAGACAGGUGGAAACAGGCUCCUCCCCUUUCUGAUGGUGUAUGGCACCCACUUCAUUGGUGUGGAGUGCCUCAUGGUGAGGUCAAUUCUAUUCUCACUGAUCCCACCACCCACACUCAGGACCUGGGGAUAGGGGACCAGGGGAGAUGACUGGGAGCCCCGCUGUCCAAGAGACUAGCCACCUGAUGGGGACAGCAUAUGAGAAGGUUCCAGGUAAAGGCACCUGUGCUUCUGCCCCGCCCCUAGCUGGGCCUUGGGACGCAGAGCACAAGGGCUCCCUGCCCUUGUCCACCUCUCCCCUGUCCUUCCCCCACUCCUGCCUGGCCCCUGCCUGCUUCCCUCCCCACCCACUUUCCCAGAGCAAGAACAAACAAGAAGACAAACCCAGCAGCACAGUCAGCUUCGGAGGUGGCAGCGAGGGAUGCGGGGAACUUGCCUUCAUUUCCCCGGCUUCCC
Molecule: long non-coding RNA, 1606 nt
Organism: Marmota monax (woodchuck)
Lineage: Eukaryota; Metazoa; Chordata; Mammalia; Rodentia; Sciuridae
Exons: 4
Source: RefSeq, a predicted model, not a curated record